This 457-nucleotide ribosomal RNA is filed under the name uncultured bacterium. RNAcentral describes it as "bacterial SSU rRNA". It matches the Rfam family "Bacterial small subunit ribosomal RNA", at positions 954 to 1409 of the family's 1533-position model. The record is from RNAcentral.
GCACAACGCGAAGAACCUUACCAGGCCUUGACAUGCAGAGAACUUUCCAGAGAUGGAUUGGUGCCUGCGGGAACUCUGAGACAGGUGCUGCAUGGCUGUCGUCAGCUCGUGUCGUGAGAUGUUGGGUUAAGUCCCGCAACGAGCGCAACCCUUGCCCUUAGUUGCCAGCAUUAAGGUGGGAACUCUAAGGGGACCGCCGGUGACAAACCGGAGGAAGGUGGGGAUGACGUCAAGUCAGUCAUGGCCCUUAUGACCAGGGCUACACACGUGCUACAAUGGCCAGUACAAAGGGUUGCCAACCCGCGAGGGGGAGCCGAAUCCCGAUAAAGCUGGUCGUAGUCCGGAUCGCAGUCUGCAACGUCGACUGCGUGAAGUCGGAAUCGCUAGUAAUCGUGAAUCAGCAUUGUCACGGUGAAUACGUUCCCGGGUCUUGUACACACCGAGUCGUGGGAGGCAA